Molecule: ribosomal RNA, 871 nt
Filed under: Escherichia coli
Lineage: Bacteria; Pseudomonadati; Pseudomonadota; Gammaproteobacteria; Enterobacterales; Enterobacteriaceae
Description: partial 23S ribosomal RNA
Rfam family: Bacterial large subunit ribosomal RNA
Source: RNAcentral
GCGGCAAGACGGAAAGACCCCGUGAACCUUUACUAUAGCUUGACACUGAACAUUGAGCCUUGAUGUGUAGGAUAGGUGGGAGGCUUUGAAGUGUGGACGCCAGUCUGCAUGGAGCCGACCUUGAAAUACCACCCUUUAAUGUUUGAUGUUCUAACGUGGGCCCCUUACCGGGGUUGCGGACAGUGUCUGGUGGGUAGUUUGACUGGGGCGGUCUCCUCCUAAAGAGUAACGGAGGAGCACGAAGGUUGGCUAAUCCUGGUCGGACAUCAGGAGGUUAGUGCAAUGGCAUAAGCCAGCUUGACUGCGAGCGUGACGGCGCGAGCAGGUGCGAAAGCAGGUCAUAGUGAUCCGGUGGUUCUGAAUGGAAGGGCCAUCGCUCAACGGAUAAAAGGUACUCCGGGGAUAACAGGCUGAUACCGCCCAAGAGUUCAUAUCGACGGCGGUGUUUGGCACCUCGAUGUCGGCUCAUCACAUCCUGGGGCUGAAGUAGGUCCCAAGGGUAUGGCUGUUCGCCAUUUAAAGUGGUACGCGAGCUGGGUUUAGAACGUCGUGAGACAGUUCGGUCCCUAUCUGCCGUGGGCGCUGGAGAACUGAGGGGGGCUGCUCCUAGUACGAGAGGACCGGAGUGGACGCAUCACUGGUGUUCGGGUUGUCAUGCCAAUGGCACUGCCCGGUAGCUAAAUGCGGAAGAGAUAAGUGCUGAAAGCAUCUAAGCACGAAACUUGCCCCGAGAUGAGUUCUCCCUGACUCCUUGAGAGUCCUGAAGGAACGUUGAAGACGACGACGUUGAUAGGCCGGGUGUGUAAGCGCAGCGAUGCGUUGAGCUAACCGGUACUAAUGAACCGUGAGGCUUAACCUUACAACGCCGAAG